GAAUAUGAAGUGAUUUAUUACACUUAGUUUCGACCUAACCUUAGAUGAUUUUCAUCCUUAUUCU
RNAcentral lists this transfer RNA (64 nucleotides) under Simulium equinum. Its description in RNAcentral is "tRNA-Arg". Lineage: Eukaryota; Metazoa; Arthropoda; Insecta; Diptera; Simuliidae. The record is from RNAcentral. RNAcentral also lists the same sequence under 2 other names.